Molecule: ribosomal RNA, 430 nt
Filed under: Pseudomonadota bacterium
Lineage: Bacteria; Pseudomonadati; Pseudomonadota
Description: Proteobacteria bacterium partial 16S ribosomal RNA
Rfam family: Bacterial small subunit ribosomal RNA
Source: RNAcentral
UGGGGAAUAUUGGACAAUGGGGGGAACCUUGAUCCAGCCAUGCCGCGUGUGUGAAGAAGGCCUUAUGGUUGUAAAGCACUUUAAGCGAGGAGGAGGGUACUGGUAUUAAUACUACCAGGUACUGGACGUUACUCGCAGAAUAAGCACCGGCUAACUCUGUGCCAGCAGCCGCGGUAAUACAGAGGGUGCGAGCGUUAAUCGGAUUUACUGGGCGUAAAGCGUGCGUAGGCGGCUAAUUGAGUCGGAUGUGAAAUCCCCGAGCUUAACUUGGGAAUUGCAUUCGAUACUGGUUAGCUAGAGUGUGGGAGAGGAUGGUAGAAUUCCAGGUGUAGCGGUGAAAUGCGUAGAGAUCUGGAGGAAUACCGAUGGCGAAGGCAGCCAUCUGGCCUAACACUGACGCUGAGGUACGAAAGCAUGGGGAGCAAACAGG